Molecule: ribosomal RNA, 513 nt
Filed under: uncultured bacterium
Lineage: Bacteria
Description: partial 16S ribosomal RNA
Rfam family: Bacterial small subunit ribosomal RNA
Source: RNAcentral
GACGGACGCUGGCGGCAUGCCUAAUACAUGCAAGUCGAGCGAACGGAUGAAGUGCUUGCACUUCUGACGUUAGCGGCGAACGGGUGAGUAACACGUAAGGAAUCUACCUAUAAGCGGGGGAUAACAUUCGGAAACGGGUGCUAAUACCGCAUAAUAUCUUCUUCCGCAUGGAAGAAGAUUGAAAGACGGCUCUGCUGUCACUUAUAGAUGACCUUGCGGUGCAUUAGUUAGUUGGUGGGGUAAUGGCCUACCAAGACGAUGAUGCAUAGCCGACCUGAGGGGGUGAUGGGCCAAAUUGGGACUGAGACACGGCCAAAACUCCUACGGGAGGCAGCAGUAGGGAAUCUUCCGCAAUGGGCGAAAGCCUGACGGAGCAAUGCCGCGUGAGUGAAGAAGGCCUUCGGGUCGUAAAACUCUGUUAUAAGAGAAGAACAAAUUGUAGAGUAACUGCUACAGUCUUGACGGUAUCUUAUCAGAAAGCCACGGCUAACUACGUGCCAGCCGCCGCCGUAA